GCUUAUGUAGUGGAAUGGCAAACACAAGAGGCAGGUGCUUCAGAGGCAAAGAAAACACUGAUUUUAUUGAACAAACAAGCAAAAUGUAAUAUAUUUACAGAAAACAAGAAAGUGAAUGUCAAAAACCCACCUUUCUCUGACUGAGACCUGUCUCUCUGUUAACUUGACCCCCAGUUGAGCCUUGCGGCCAAGACUUGAUACAGUACCCUGGUAUGAAAACGCGGUUUUGACAGGUUCUUGUCCAUAGUCUCUUGCCGUAGCUGGGACUCCGUGAAGGGCCAUGAGUGCCGGUAACAGUCGGUCUGGUGGUGUGCACAGAUGCAGUUAGCUGCGUGGGACCAGACCGAUUUUAGGCCCAUACAACUGAGCCAAACUCAUGAUUGGUGCAUUCCUUAUGGCCUUGCUACAUAGACAAAAGUAAUAAUGAAGGAGAAAGCAAUUACAAUGGCAUCAGCAAACCCAGCAAGAAGAGUAAUAUCCAGCAACUGCUGCCCUGUUUCUAAAUGGAUAUGCAGCCAGUGAAGAACUCUCAAGGAGAUGAAAGAGAACAGACCCUACAUACACCAAGCUCACUGUCAUUUUCCACAGCUUUCAGAAAUACUCUGCAGGUGCAGGCUAAGGGUGUCCUGGGCCACCGUCACUCAAACUAUAUCACUUGUGAAGCUGGACUCACACUCAAAAGGAAUGGGUGACCUUUUUAUACCAGUGGCUAUCAAAGGUCCAGCUUGUUUCAAGGGGCAGCCAGGAACUGGUAUGGUAUUUCCCAGUCCUCAACCCAAAAACACAUCUGGAAAUCUUGUCCCAUUUCCUCCUAAUUACACCAGUUUAUAUACUCCAAUCAUGCCGAUGAGAGUCAAGCUAUCCAGGAUGUGGCAUUCUCCGACAUUACUAGCUUCUCCUAGGGGCAAGGUUUUAUAGACUUACAUCCAUUUUGCUUUGAGAGCACCUGAUCAGCAAACUGCAAAGUUUUUAUCGAUAGAAAAGUCUCCCACUUGGUCAAUGUGCAGCUUAUCUGUGACCAUUGAUGUCGGAUUCUGGAGGAAUACAGUGGAUAGCUUUGGAGCUGCCGUGAUGUUCAUACACAGGAGGACUCAAGCUCCUGUCUCCUUCCAAAAUCAUCGGACCAUACAGAGAUGGCUUCUGGGAGAUCAGGGUUACACCCUCCAAACCUGGUCAAUGACUCCCUUACAAAACCCUCAGACUGUAGUAGAAGGGAGAAACAACAAUGAGCAUGUUUUCACCAGUCCGCUAAUGGAACAGAUUAAAAUGAGACUUUGAUGCCUGGACCACUCUGGUAAGGCCUUGCGGUACAACCUAGAAAGGGUGUCCUGUUUCAUUUUGGUAUGCUGUGCCCUUCACAAUUGGAUCCAGACGCAGGUGCUGAUGCAUGAAUCAUUUUUUGAUGUUAUUUUGCCAAUGAAGUUAUAGGGAUACAGUCUCAAUAAAAACUUGAUGAAUUAA
This is a long non-coding RNA of Rhincodon typus (whale shark), 1461 nucleotides long. RefSeq lists it as uncharacterized. The transcript is spliced from 3 exons. Lineage: Eukaryota; Metazoa; Chordata; Chondrichthyes; Orectolobiformes; Rhincodontidae. The record is from RefSeq and is a predicted model, not a curated record.